Molecule: long non-coding RNA, 1140 nt
Organism: Juglans regia (Persian walnut)
Lineage: Eukaryota; Viridiplantae; Streptophyta; Magnoliopsida; Fagales; Juglandaceae
Exons: 2
Source: RefSeq, a predicted model, not a curated record
UCAAAACCCGUUACCCCAUACUCCCCGACGCCCUAUAAAAGCGCCAGUGAUAAGCUCAUAUCAUCUCAGGCUGAGUUUCUCAGCCGUCAAGGAUAAAGUUCCAGAAAGAACGGAAGAAAUCGUAAGAGAAACCCUUAAAACGCAGUACGACUGCUGAUAGGGUUUGCGCAUUGAACUGGAGUUGCGAUUCUCUUUAGACUGACAGAGACAAGUGGUAUUGAUUAAAGGUUCAAGAUGGUUGCAACUGUUGGUUCUUAGAAGGGAUACCCAAAAUCAAUUUUUCCUGCAAGAAUAAGUUUUGCAUCCGCUCUGUAUUUGUAGCUAUUGUGUGAUUUGCAUCAUUUCAAUCUGAUCUGAGGUGUUGUGGAUUGGGUGGGCGGCUUGGAGAAUUUUAAAUGAGAUUUGAACUUCCUGAGUCAGAUCUACAGCCCUUUCUCAACCUCUCUAGCUUCUAGUUCUUGAUUUGUUGUCAGAACAGAGCAAAUAUGAAACCUUAAAGGAGAAAAUGGAAGUGAACCAGAGAGAAAACAGUAGCAUAAAUCAUAGCACAAGUCACAGAUGAAAAUGAAAGGAGAAAAUACGAAAACCUCAACUGCUUGCCAGAACCUUGAAGGGAAAAUGGAAGGAGAAAAUACUGGAAGGGUUUAUCAGAAUUCAGUGGCUUGGCUUUCUGACUGAAGGCUGAGCAAUCUUCGACCUUGGUGCUCACUAGAACGCUGACGGAGGAAGGAGGAACGCUGAAGGAUUUCUGAGAAAGAAAGGCCAUCUGUUUGAAAUAAGGGUAAAAUUGACAAUAUAAAUGUUGCUGAGCUGGAGGUUGUGCUGAGUGUGUUAAGUGGGAAGGCUUCUGUCUAGCAUUUGGUUGAUAGACGCAGUACGACUGCUGAUAGGUAUCUCGUCUUCAAACUAGAACGCUGGUGUUGGAUGGAUUAUCAAAUUUGGUUGAUCCUCUCCUUGAUGUUCAAGUGUUUGACAGAUUUAACAGGAUUAGGGCUAUCAUAUUUUACUAGCCUGAAAAUGUGUGGCAUUAUCAUUAUGUCGUUCUGAGUCUUCUCCCCAGCUACUUACCCAAAAAUAAAUUAUCUUCUUCUUUGAUCAUCUUAAACGGCUGUCUAAUCAUAUUUUGAAGUUUGGCCAAGA